RNAcentral lists this ribosomal RNA (447 nucleotides) under uncultured bacterium. Its description in RNAcentral is "SSU rRNA". It matches the Rfam family "Bacterial small subunit ribosomal RNA", at positions 26 to 518 of the family's 1533-position model. The record is from RNAcentral.
AGAACGAACGCUGGCGGCAGGCCUCAAACAUGCAAGUCUAGGGGGUGUAGCAAUACAUCACCGGCGGACGGGUGCGUAACACGUGGGAAUGUACCUAUUGGUUCGGAACAACGCAGGGAAACUUGCGCUAAUACCGAAUGUGCCCGAAAGGGGAAAGAUUUAUCGCCAAUAGAUCAGCCCGCGUAGGAUUAGCUAGUUGGUGAGGUAAUGGCUCACCAAGGCUCCGAUCCUUAGCUGUUCUGAGAGGAAGAUCAGCCACACUGGGACUGAGACACGGCCCAGACUCCUACGGGAGGCAGCAGUUGGGAAUCUUGGACAAUGGGCGAAAGCCUGAUCCAGCCAUGCCGCGUGAGUGAUGAAGGCCUUCGGGUUGUAAAACUCUUUCGACGGGGACGAUAAUGACGGUACCCGUAGAAGAGCUCCGGCUAACUUCGUGCCAGCAGCCGC